Molecule: long non-coding RNA, 885 nt
Organism: Passer domesticus (house sparrow)
Lineage: Eukaryota; Metazoa; Chordata; Aves; Passeriformes; Passeridae
Exons: 7
Source: RefSeq, a predicted model, not a curated record
GAGAGCAGCAGCAGGGAGCUGGCCAUGGGCUGGGAGGAGGCAGGUGCAAGGUGCUGGGGAUGGCCAGGUGGAAGAGAAGGAGCAGAAAAGGAGGAGCUUGUGGAUAUCUUCAUGUGGAGAGGCAGGGCUCUGUUUUAAAAAGAUGAAGUAAUUGUAACAUUUCAAAAGUAAGUUGCACUUAUUAGGUCAUUUUUAAGGAAAGGACUGUUAUCCCCUCUCCUGGGCCUUUCCACAGCUCUGUCCUGCCUGGUGCUCAUAGAUGGACCUUCACUGGAGCUGCAGAUGCUGCUGGGCUAAAGAGGAGCUGCUGCAAAGGGAAGAUCUCAGUUCAGAGCAGGAAACACUCCUCUGUUCUUCCUUUCCAUUGAAGCUGGAGGCAGUUUUGUGCCACUGCAGUGCAUGGAAAGAUCUCCUGAGAACUUGGAACAGCUUGAAUUUGACAGAUCAGAUUUGUGAAAAGCCAUAAAAGAGAAGAAUCCUCAUCUCCUCCUGCCUUCAGCUUCACCCUUGUGUGGACAUUACAUUUAUUUGUGUGCUCUGUGGACUGGGGCACACCAAAGGCACAAGUUCUCCAGUAUUUUAUCCCUAAUGGUGGCCAAUAAUUGGUGCCAAGGAAAUAAAUAAAGGAAAAAACCCCAAUAACAGGAUUUCACAAUUGCCAUGUCCCAGAGGAAAUUCUUGGAGACCAGUCUGGCAAGGAAGAACUUCACAACUUUCUCUGGCAAAAACUGUGAGAUAUUCAUUUAAGUACAUAGAGCUAAAGCAGAUAUCCCUGGGCAAGGUGGGAAUGAAAUGAUGGGAAUUUAUCAGAGCAGAUGAAAAUGACUGUUUACCUGCUGGAAAGGUGAAAAGGACCUGGACUGGUACUCAGGAUUCUCACAAAAG